Molecule: non-coding RNA, 45 nt
Organism: Schistosoma rodhaini
Lineage: Eukaryota; Metazoa; Platyhelminthes; Trematoda; Strigeidida; Schistosomatidae
Source: Rfam
AUCUAGCUGAUGAGUCCCAAACAAGACGAAAUGUGUGUCCUGUAU